This 253-nucleotide unclassified non-coding RNA is filed under the name uncultured Sandaracinaceae bacterium. RNAcentral describes it as "contains 16S-23S intergenic spacer region". It matches the Rfam family "Bacterial small subunit ribosomal RNA", at positions 524 to 776 of the family's 1533-position model. The record is from RNAcentral. Lineage: Bacteria; Pseudomonadati; Myxococcota; Polyangiales; Sandaracinaceae.
GACAGAGGGUGCGAACGUUGCUCGGAAUCACUGGGUGUAAAGCGCGUGUAGGCGGACACGGAAGUCGGGUGUGAAAUCCCUGGGCUCAACCUAGGAACUGCAUCCGAAACUCCGCGUCUAGAGUACCGGAGAGGGAAGCGGAAUUCCUGGUGUAGAGGUGAAAUUCGUAGAUAUCAGGAGGAACACCGGUGGCGAAGGCGGCUUCCUGGACGGUAACUGACUCUGAGGCGCGAAAGCGUGGGGAGCAAACAGG